GAUGAACGCUGGCGGCGUGCCUAAUACAUGCAAGUCGAGCGAACGGACGAGAAGCUUGCUUCUCUGAUGUUAGCGGCGGACGGGUGAGUAACACGUGGAUAACCUACCUAUAAGACUGGGAUAAAUUCGGGAAACCGGAGCUAAUACCGGAUAAUAUUUUGAACCGCAUGGUUCAAAAGUGAAAGACGGUCUUGCUGUCACUUAUAGAUGGAUCCGCGCUUCAUUAGCUAGUUGGUAAGGUAACGGCUUACCAAGGCAACGAUGCAUAGCCGACCUGAGAGGGUGAUCGGCCACACUGGAAGUGAGACACGGUCCAGACUCCUACGGGAGGCAGCAGUAGGGAAUCUUCCGCAAUGGGCGAAAGCCUGACGGAGCAACGCCGCGUGAGUGAUGAAGGUCUUCGGAUCGUAAAACUCUGUUAUUAGUGAAGAACAUAUGUGUAAGUAACUGUGCACAUCUUGACGGUACCUAAUCAGAAAGCCACGGCUAACUACGUG
This 497-nucleotide ribosomal RNA is filed under the name uncultured bacterium. RNAcentral describes it as "partial 16S ribosomal RNA". It matches the Rfam family "Bacterial small subunit ribosomal RNA", at positions 28 to 507 of the family's 1533-position model. The record is from RNAcentral.